RNAcentral lists this ribosomal RNA (372 nucleotides) under uncultured organism. Its description in RNAcentral is "bacterial SSU rRNA". It matches the Rfam family "Bacterial small subunit ribosomal RNA", at positions 526 to 896 of the family's 1533-position model. The record is from RNAcentral.
CAGAGGGUGCAAGCGUUGUUCGGAAUUACUGGGCGUAAAGCGCGUGUAGGUGGCGAGAUAAGUCGGGUGUGAAAUCCCUUGGCUUAACCAAGGAAGUGCAUUCGAUACUGUUUCGCUUGAGUAUCGGAGGGGUCGGCGGAAUUCCCGGUGUAGAGGUGAAAUUCGUAGAUAUCGGGAGGAACACCUGUGGCGAAGGCGGCCGACUGGACGAUCACUGACACUGAGACGCGAAAGCGUGGGUAGCAAACAGGAUUAGAUACCCUGGUAGUCCACGCUGUAAACGAUGAGUGCUAGACGUCAUGGGUAUUGACCCCUGUGGUGUCGAAGUUAACACGUUAAGCACUCCGCCUGGGGAGUACGGUCGCAAGAUUA